RNAcentral lists this transfer RNA (74 nucleotides) under Rhodothermaeota bacterium MED-G12. RNAcentral describes it as "tRNA-Glu(ttc)". It matches the Rfam family "tRNA". Rfam says of the family: Transfer RNA (tRNA) molecules are approximately 80 nucleotides in length. Their secondary structure includes four short double-helical elements and three loops (D, anti-codon, and T loops). Further hydrogen bonds mediate the characteristic L-shaped molecular structure. tRNAs have two regions of fundamental functional importance: the anti-codon, which is responsible for specific mRNA codon recognition, and the 3' end, to which the tRNAs corresponding amino acid is attached (by aminoacyl-tRNA synthetases). tRNAs cope with the degeneracy of the genetic code in two manners: having more than one tRNA (with a specific anti-codon) for a particular amino acid; and 'wobble' base-pairing, i.e. permitting non-standard base-pairing at the 3rd anti-codon position. The record is from RNAcentral. Lineage: Bacteria; Pseudomonadati; Rhodothermota.
GCCGCGUUCGUCUAGAGGCCUAGGACGCCGCCCUUUCACGGCGGUAGCACGGGUUCGAAUCCCGUACGCGGUAC